Non-coding RNA from Danio rerio (zebrafish), 867 nucleotides. Ensembl annotates it as Kv channel interacting protein 3a, calsenilin. Its record names the gene kcnip3a. The record is from Ensembl. Lineage: Eukaryota; Metazoa; Chordata; Actinopteri; Cypriniformes; Danionidae.
UCUUCAUGUUUCUCAAACUCAUGCAUCUGCUGGGACUCAUAGACAUUACUGAGACAGAGACAGCAGUGACAGUGACCUUGAGCUGUCCACGGUGCGGCAUCAGCCCGAGGGUCUGGAGCAGUUGCAGGCACAGACCAAAUUCACCAAGAAGGAGCUGCAGUCCCUAUAUAGGGGCUUUAAAAAUGAGUGCCCAAGUGGUUUGGUUGAUGAGGAAACUUUCAAGACCAUCUACUCCCAAUUCUUUCCCCAAGGCGAUGCCACCACAUACGCCCAUUUUCUGUUUAACGCAUUUGAUCUUGACAGAAAUGGCUCGAUCCGUUUUGAGGAUUUUGUGAUUGGUCUGUCCGUGUUGCUGAGAGGAACAGUCACUGAAAAGCUCAACUGGGCUUUCAACCUUUACGACAUCAACAAGGAUGGAUACAUCACUAAAGAGGAGAUGCUGUUAAUUAUGAAGUCAAUCUACGACAUGAUGGGAAGGUACACAUACCCCAGUGUGCGAGACGAAGCUCCAUCUGAACAUGUGGAAAAGUUCUUUCAGAAAAUGGACAGAAAUCGAGACGGUGUGGUCACUAUUGAAGAGUUUAUUGAGACCUGUCAGAAAGAUGAAAACAUCAUGAACUCCAUGCAGCUCUUUGAAAAUGUGAUAUAGCCCGAAAAUGGAUCACGGUAAAGCUGAAACAGCCGUCAACGUCCUAAAACCAGAUCUCUCUAUCUGUCUAUAUACCAAACUAGCACAGCAGUCACUCUCUGUUUUGUCCUGUAGCACUAAUCCCAUGCCUGCUGCACUCUGUAGAAAACUAUAGACCAACACUUAGCCUGCAAUAUGGCGUCACAAUUUAUACUUCACAGCGGGACUACUAGCCAAGC